Molecule: ribosomal RNA, 71 nt
Filed under: Anopheles tessellatus
Lineage: Eukaryota; Metazoa; Arthropoda; Insecta; Diptera; Culicidae
Description: partial 5.8S ribosomal RNA
Source: RNAcentral
GAACAUUGAUACGUUGAACGCACAUGGCACAUCGGCUCGCCUCAAAACGACCGAUGUACACAUCCUUGAGU